UAGCUGCAUGCUGAGAUCAUAGCCAACGUGUCUGAUCCAAUGUUAUUCUUAAUGAGUGAAGCGAUCAGGAGAGUGGGCCUAAAGGUCAUCGGAGUGGGAGAGCUGGCUCAGCCCUUCACCCACAUCAGCGCUGUAUGGGAGAGUUACAAGGAUGGAAGGCCAAUAUGAGAAGAUGGGGAGGUAUAAGUGCUUAUCUGGAGUUCUAAAUUGGAAAUCAGCAGCCUUUCCCUGAAGAACCAGACAGCGA
Mus musculus (house mouse) is the source of this 247-nucleotide long non-coding RNA. RefSeq annotates it as predicted gene, 42034. NCBI's taxonomy places the organism in Eukaryota, Metazoa, Chordata, Mammalia, Rodentia, Muridae. The record is from RefSeq and is a predicted model, not a curated record. The transcript has 3 exons.